UUUAUUGUUUUUGUUUAUUUUUUAGUAUUGCAUACUAAUUAAGUUUUUUUUUUUAUAAAAAAAAUUGGAAAAAAAAGGUAGAAUUUAUUAUUUAUGAAAUGUUAGAAAUUUUGUAUAAAGUAAUUUUGUUUUGAUAAGACGACUUUUUUGAUAACUAAGUUUUUUUUUUUUAUAGAAAUUUUAGAUUUUUUUGUUAUUUUUAGAUUUUUUAUUAUUUGAAGUUUUUUUAUUUUUUGUUUUAUAACUUAUUUUCUUUUUUGUUAAAUUUUUUUUUUAUUAAAUUUUUUUUAGUAAUUUUUUUUUCUUUUUUAUAUUAAUUUUUUUUAUUAAGUUUUUUUUUUAUAUAUAAACGAAUAAUUUGAUAUUAGAUUAAAUGUUUUUUAAAAACUUAGGUUUUAAAUUUGAAACUAGCUUCUGCUCUAUGAUUAAUUUUAAAUGGCAGUCUUAGCGUGAGGACAUUAAGGUAGCAUAAUAAUUUGUGCUUUUAUUGAGUUCUAGUAUGAAUGAAGUUUUUGAUCUAUGAUUUUUUUUUUUUUUUUUGAAUUAUUUUCUUUUUAAGAAUUAUAAGUUUUUUUUUUACAAAGAUAAGUCUUUGGAAAUUUUUUUAUUAUAUUUAUUUAGGGUAAAUUUUUAUUUAAUUUUUUUUCUAAUUUAAUUUUAAAAAUUACUCCAGAGUUAACAGAAAAUCAUGUUUUUUCCAGAUGUUAUGGAUAAAUAAGUUUUACAUCGAUGUUGUAUUAUGUUUUUUUAAAAAAGGAGAAUUUUUAAUUAUUUAAGACUGUUCUUCUUUUAAAUAAAUAUACGUGAUAUUAGUUUAAUUCAUUGUGAGAUAGAAUUGUUUCUCUUGUUAAGAAAUUUUUUUAUUGUUUUUAGUACGAAAGGAAUGAAAUUUUUUAAUUUUAAAUUUUUUUGUUAAUUU
This 919-nucleotide ribosomal RNA is filed under the name Diploscapter coronatus. Its description in RNAcentral is "16S ribosomal RNA". The record is from RNAcentral. Lineage: Eukaryota; Metazoa; Nematoda; Chromadorea; Rhabditida; Rhabditidae.